AUGCCGCGUGCGGGAAGAAGGCCUUCGGGUUGUAAACCGCUUUUGUCAGGGAAGAAACGGCUUUCUCUAAUACAGAGAGCUAAUGACGGUACCUGAAGAAUAAGCACCGGCUAACUACGUGCCAGCAGCCGCGGUAAUACGUAGGGUGCAAGCGUUAAUCGGAAUUACUGGGCGUAAAGCGUGCGCAGGCGGUUAUGCAAGACAGAUGUGAAAUCCCCGGGCUCAACCUGGGAACUGCAUUUGUGACUGCAUGGCUAGAGUACGGUAGAGGGGGAUGGAAUUCCGCGUGUAGCAGUGAAAUGCGUAGAUAUGCGGAGGAACACCGAUGGCGAAGGCAAUCCCCUGGACCUGUACUGACGCUCAUGCACGAAAGCGUGGGGAGCAAACAGGAUUAGAUACCCUGGUAGUCCACGCCCUAAACGAUGUCAACUGGUUGUUGGGAGGGUUUCUUCUCAGUAACGAAGCUA
RNAcentral lists this ribosomal RNA (467 nucleotides) under uncultured beta proteobacterium. RNAcentral's name for it is "bacterial SSU rRNA". It matches the Rfam family "Bacterial small subunit ribosomal RNA", at positions 394 to 854 of the family's 1533-position model. Lineage: Bacteria; Pseudomonadati; Pseudomonadota; Betaproteobacteria. The record is from RNAcentral.